RNAcentral lists this ribosomal RNA (496 nucleotides) under uncultured bacterium. RNAcentral's name for it is "partial 16S ribosomal RNA". It matches the Rfam family "Bacterial small subunit ribosomal RNA", at positions 28 to 506 of the family's 1533-position model. The record is from RNAcentral.
GAUGAACGCUGGCGGCGUGCCUAAUACAUGCAAGUCGAGCGAACGGAUGAGAAGCUUGCUUCUCUGAUGUUAGCGGCGGACGGGUGAGUAACACGUGGAUAACCUACCUAUAAGACUGGGAUAACUUCGGGAAACCGGAGCUAAUACCGGAUAAUAUUUUGAACCGCAUGGUUCAAAAGUGAAAGACGGUCUUGCUGUCACUUAUAGAUGGAUCCGCGCUGCAUUAGCUAGUUGGUAAGGUAACGGCUUACCAAGGCAACGAUGCAUAGCCGACCUGAGAGGGUGAUCGGCCACACUGGAACUGAGACACGGUCCAGACUCCUACGGGAGGCAGCAGUAGGGAAUCUUCCGCAAUGGGCGAAAGCCUGACGGAGCAACGCCGCGUGAGUGAUGAAGGUCUUCGGAUCGUAAAACUCUGUUAUUAGGGAAGAACAUAUGUGUAAGUAACUGUGCACAUCUUGACGGUACCUAAGCAGAAAGCCACGGCUAACUACGG